AUGUCGCUAGUCAACGGCUUUAGUAUAUCUCAAGCAUUUUGUAGAUCCUUCUGGUUCCUAUUUCUAGUAGUAAGUUUCUUUGUCAUUGUAGGAUUUAGUAUGCCGAGGAAGGAUAGGCGGUCAGCUAUCGCAUACAUAAAUGAUGAGAAAGAGCAUGAUGUCACGUUCUUCAAGCGACGUGGCGGUUUGUUUAAGAGUGUUUCUGAACUCUCUGUCGUCACCGGCGCUAGGGUUGCUGUCGUCCUAGAGACGGAAAAUGAGAGGAUGCAUUCCUUUGGGACGCCAUCUAUUGACCCCAUUGCUGAUGGUUUUCUAUCAGGAGCACCACUAGCAGUUCCACUUGCCGAUGAGGCAACAACUACCAGAGUUGCCCAGCUACAAAGUGAGGUGGCUCGGCUUGAUAUGAAUUGCAUGAAGGAGUACAAGGAAAACCAACUCUCCAUCAAGCGUAUGAAACAAAUCCAAGAGCAGUGCCCAGGUAUGGCAGCAAACCUUAUCUUCUCGAAGGAAGAAGAUCUCAGCCCUGGAGAUCUCAACAAUCUAUCCAAUGAAGUCUCUCGUGUCCAUGAGGACAUUGGACAUCGACUGCCACAACUACAUCAUGGACACAAAGCCAUGACUGGUGGUGCAAGCAUGAUACAAAACAUGCUACCAUCAAGCGGUCCACCAUCGGAUCGCAUGAGGACUACCCCUUCACCAGUGCACUCACUAUGGGAUCACCAUCUUCUACAACACCAAAUGCCUUCAUCUCCACUUCCAUCACCACCAGGACACAUCGUGGCACCAGGUUUUCCUCAGAAUGAUGCAAACUCUAACUCAACAUCUACGUAUAAUUUGGAGGCCUCUCCACUGUUGGUCUACUCUCGUGGCAAUGAUUUUACCGUCAAUGGCCCAUUUGGCUAUGAAUCAUGGGGUUAUGCUCUAUUGGAUCAACCAUUCCGCAAUGAAUUUCUACAGACGGAUGCUUCCUUGGGCUAUAAUGCUGUCGAUGUAGGGCAGUCUUCCAUGGGAAAUGGUGGAUGGGUUGAUAAGCCACCGAAAUCUUCUUCUAGCUAG
This 1056-nucleotide ribosomal RNA is filed under the name Triticum aestivum (bread wheat). RNAcentral describes it as "partial small subunit ribosomal RNA". Lineage: Eukaryota; Viridiplantae; Streptophyta; Magnoliopsida; Poales; Poaceae. The record is from RNAcentral.